CAUCUUUUCUAGUAUUUUAUUUGAGAUUUGACCUGCCCAAUGAUUUAAUUUAAUGGCCGCGGUAUUUUGACCGUGCAAAGGUAGCAUAAUCAUUAGUCUAUUAAUUGUGGACUUGUAUGAAUGGUUGGACGAAAUAUUUUCUGUCUCAUAUUGAUUUAUUUAUAAUUUGAAUUUUGAGUUAAAAUGCUUAAAUUUUUUUAUAGGACGAGAAGACCCUAUAGAUCUUUAUUUUUAAUUUGUUUAAAGGUUUUGGAUUAGUGAGUUUUAUCUUUAAUCAGGUUAUUUAUUUUGUUGGGGUGACAUUGAUAUAUAAUUAACUAUUAAUUUUUUAUAUUCAUUUAUUUUUGUAUAUUUGACCUUUUAUUAAUGUUAAAAGAUAUAGAUACCUUAGGGAUAACAGCGUAAUUCUUUUUGAGAGUUCAUAUCGACAAAGGAGAUUGCGACCUCGAUGUUGGAUUAAGAAUAUAAUUAGGUGUAGGUGCUUAAUAGGUAAGUCUGUUCGACUUUUAAAUUCUUAC
This 518-nucleotide ribosomal RNA is filed under the name Candovia pallida. RNAcentral's name for it is "partial large subunit ribosomal RNA". It matches the Rfam family "Bacterial large subunit ribosomal RNA", at positions 1827 to 2599 of the family's 2925-position model. The record is from RNAcentral. Lineage: Eukaryota; Metazoa; Arthropoda; Insecta; Phasmatodea; Lonchodidae.